UUCAGAGUAAGCUGAUGAAAA
RNAcentral lists this non-coding RNA (21 nucleotides) under Rattus norvegicus (Norway rat). The record is from RNAcentral. Lineage: Eukaryota; Metazoa; Chordata; Mammalia; Rodentia; Muridae.